UGACCUCAAAUCAGGUAGGAUUACCCGCUGAACUUAAGCAUAUCAAUAAGCGGAGGAAAGAAACUAACA
This 69-nucleotide ribosomal RNA is filed under the name Laricifomes officinalis. Its description in RNAcentral is "Fomitopsis officinalis partial 28S ribosomal RNA". It matches the Rfam family "Eukaryotic large subunit ribosomal RNA", at positions 1 to 70 of the family's 3401-position model. The record is from RNAcentral. Lineage: Eukaryota; Fungi; Basidiomycota; Agaricomycetes; Polyporales; Laricifomitaceae.